UGAACCUGCGGAAGGAUCAUUAAUGAAUUUGGAGGCUGUCGCUGGCUAGGUGAUUCUAGCAUGUGCACGUCUACACUUUUAAACACACUUGUGAACCCAUUGUAGAUCGAGUCCAUCGAAAAGUAGUGUCGAACUACCUAAUAGAGGGCUGAUUGACUUAUCGAAAAGUAUGAGGCUUAUUGAAAAGUAGUGUGAACUACCUAAUAGAAAGCUUAGUACCUAAUAGAGAGUUAGUUGGCUUAUCGAAAAGUGGUAAGAACUACCUAAUAGAGGGGCUGAGUUGGCUCAUUGAAAAGUAGUUAAUAGAGAGUUAGUUGGCUUAUCGAAAAGUAAGAGGCUUAUUGAAAAGUGGUGUAAACUACCUAAUAGAAAGCUUAGUACCUAAUAGAGGGCUAGUUGGCUUAUCGAAAAGACUACCUAAUAGAGGGCUCCAGAAGAUCUAUGUUUAAUCUACACCACAUCGUAUGUCCAGAAAAUAAAUAAAUUACAACUUUCAGCAAUGGAUCUCUUGGUUCUCGCAUCGAUGAAGAACGCAGCGAAUCGCGAUAAGUAAUGUGAAUUGCAGAUUUUCAGUGAAUCAUCGAAUCUUUGAACGCACCUUGCGCCCCUUGGUAUUCCGAGGGGCAUGCCUGUUUGAGUGUCAUUUUAUCAUCAACUCAUUAGUCUUUGAUUAGGCUUUUGGGCUUGGACUUGGGAAUUGCUGGCUUGAUCUUUAUCUAUUGAACAGUAUCUAAUACUUAAUAGAGGGUAAAGUGUAGUCGGCUGUCCUUGAAUGCAUUAGCGAGUGUUAGUCUACAUGGCACGGCCUCUUGACGUGAUAAUGAUCGUCGUGGGCUGGAAGUGUAGUGUCUGGCUUCUAAUCAUUGAUUGCGUGCAUACGGCCGAUAAAGCUGGAAGCGCAACAAAAUACGACCAUGUGCAUACGGCCCUUGAAGCUGGAAGCAUAGUCGAAAUUGACAUUUGACCUCAAAUCAGGUAGGAUUACCCGCUGAACUUAAGCAUAUCAAUAAGCGGAGGAAAAGAAACUAACAAGGAUUCCCCUAGUAACUGCGAGUGAAGCGGGAAAAGCUCAAAUUUUGAAUCUGGCGGUCAUCUAGGCCGUCCGAA
This 1107-nucleotide ribosomal RNA is filed under the name Leccinum sp. KPM-NC-0017841. RNAcentral's name for it is "eukaryotic LSU rRNA". The stretch from base 489 to 643 matches the Rfam family "5.8S ribosomal RNA". The record is from RNAcentral. Lineage: Eukaryota; Fungi; Basidiomycota; Agaricomycetes; Boletales; Boletaceae.